Small nuclear RNA from Topomyia yanbarensis, 106 nucleotides. The record is from RefSeq and is a predicted model, not a curated record. Lineage: Eukaryota; Metazoa; Arthropoda; Insecta; Diptera; Culicidae.
UCGUUGUCCUAGCUUCGACUACACUAAAAUUGGAACGAUAUAGAGAAGAUUAGUAUGACCCCUGCGCAAGUAUGAUACGCAAAAUCGUGGCGCCUCUGAAUUGCUU